GCUGGCUGUGGUGGUGCACACCUGUCAUCCCAAUGGCUCUGGAGGCUGAGGAAGGAGGAUUGAGAGUUCAAAGCCAGCCUUGGCAACUUAUUGAGACCCUGUCUCUA
Molecule: small RNA, 107 nt
Filed under: Marmota monax (woodchuck)
Lineage: Eukaryota; Metazoa; Chordata; Mammalia; Rodentia; Sciuridae
Source: RNAcentral